RNAcentral lists this ribosomal RNA (519 nucleotides) under uncultured eukaryote. Its description in RNAcentral is "SSU rRNA". It matches the Rfam family "Eukaryotic small subunit ribosomal RNA", at positions 1161 to 1707 of the family's 1831-position model. The record is from RNAcentral.
AGGGCACCACCAGGAGUGGUGCCUGCGGCUUAAUUUGACUCAACACGGGAAAACUUACCUGGUCCUGACACUAGAAGGAUUGACAGAUUGAUAGCUCUUUCUUGAUUUGGUGGAUGGUGGUGCAUGGCCGUUCUUAGUUGGUGGAGUGAUUUGUCUGGUUAAUUCCGAUAACGAACGAGACUCUAGCCUAUUAAAUAACACACAGAAUCUUGUCUUCUGUGGCGUUUCUUAAUGGGAUCAAGUGUGUUUAACGCUUUGAAACAGAGCAAUAACAGGUCUGUGAUGCCCUUAGAUGUUCGGGGCCGCACGCGCGCUACAUUGAGAGACAAAAUGAGUUUUCUAGUCUUUAAUAAGGCUAGUAAUCUUUGAAUGUUUUUCUUAAUGGGGAUAGGGGAUUGCAAUUGUGCCCCUUGAACGAGGAAUUCCCAGUAAGUGCUAGUCAUUAGCUAGUACUGAUUACGUCCCUGCCCUUUGUACACACCGCCCGUCGCUACUACCGAUUGAAUGGUUUAGUGAGAU